GAUGAACGCUGGCGGCGUGCCUAAUACAUGCAAGUCGAGCGAACGGACGAGAAGCUUGCUUCUCUGAUGUUAGCGGCGGACGGGUGAGUAACACGUGGAUAACCUACCUAUAAGACUGGGAUAACUUCGGGAAACCGGAGCUAAUACCGGAUGAUAUUUUGAACCGCAUGGUUCAAAAGUGAAAGACGGUCUUGCUGUCACUUAUAGAUGGAUCCGCGCUGCAUUAGCUAGUUGGUAAGGUAACGGCUUACCAAGGCAACGAUGCAUAGCCGACCUGAGAGGGUGAUCGUCCACACUGGAACUGAGACACGGUCCAGACUCCUACGGGAGGUAGCAGUAGGGAAUCUUCCGCAAUGGGCGAAAGCCUGACGGAGCAACGCCGCGUGAGUGAUGAAGGUCUUCGGAUCGUAAAACUCUGUUAUUAGGGAAGAACAUAUGUGUAAGUAACUGUGCACAUCUUGACGGUACCUAAUCAGAAAGCCACGGCUAACUACGUG
RNAcentral lists this ribosomal RNA (497 nucleotides) under uncultured bacterium. Its description in RNAcentral is "partial 16S ribosomal RNA". It matches the Rfam family "Bacterial small subunit ribosomal RNA", at positions 28 to 507 of the family's 1533-position model. The record is from RNAcentral.